This 404-nucleotide ribosomal RNA is filed under the name Platynereis agilis. RNAcentral describes it as "partial 16S ribosomal RNA". It matches the Rfam family "Bacterial large subunit ribosomal RNA", at positions 1948 to 2605 of the family's 2925-position model. The record is from RNAcentral. Lineage: Eukaryota; Metazoa; Annelida; Polychaeta; Phyllodocida; Nereididae.
GUGCAAAGGUAGCAUAAUCAUUUGCUUUUUAAUUGAAGGCUAGUAUGAAAGGACACACAAGGAUAAAACUGUCUCUCUUAAAUUAAAUAUAAACUGAUAAUUAGGUGAAGAAGCCUAAAUUAUAAUAAAGGACAAAAAGACCCUAUAGAGCUUUACUGGCUAGAGUAUUAUACUCAAUAUCAGGUUGGUUGGGACAACCAAAAGACAUUAUCACCUCUUUUUAAAAUUAUAAAAUACUUACCCAAUAAUGUAUAAAAAAUAGCUACCUUAGGGAUAACAGGCUAAUCCCACUAGAGAGAUCACAUUGACAGUGGGGGUUGGCACCUCGAUGUUGGCUUAGUGUAACUAUUAGGCGCAGUCGCCUAAUAAGUUGGUUUGUUCAACCAUUAAAUCACUACGUGAUC